CCUACGGGAGGCAGCAGUGAGGAAUAUUGGUCAAUGGGCUUACGCCUGAACCAGCCAAGUCGCGUGAGGGAAGACUGCCCUAUGGGUUGUAAACCUCUUUUGUCAGGGAGCAACGCCGGCUACGUGUAGCCGGACUGAGAGUACCUGAAGAAAAAGCGUCGGCUACCUCCGUGCCAGCAGCCGCGGUAAUACGGUGGAUGCGAGCGUUAUCCGGAUUUAGUGGGCGUAAAGGGGGCGUAGGCGGGAACUUAAGGUAGAUGUGAAAACUCCGGGCUUAACCUGGAGACUGCAUAUAAAACUGGGUUACUAGAGGGCAGGAGAGGAAAGUGGAAUUCCUAGUGUAGCGGUGAAAUGCGUAGAUAUUAGGAGGAACACCAGUGGCGAAGGCGACUUUCUGGACUGUACCUGACGCUGAGGCGCGAAAGCAUGGGGAGCGAACAGGAUUAGAUACCCGGGUAGUC
RNAcentral lists this ribosomal RNA (461 nucleotides) under uncultured bacterium. RNAcentral describes it as "partial 16S ribosomal RNA". It matches the Rfam family "Bacterial small subunit ribosomal RNA", at positions 338 to 795 of the family's 1533-position model. The record is from RNAcentral.